CUGCCUCAAUGGCACAGACACUGUAAUUGGAGCAGGACAAAGAAGAUGGCAUGACUCCUGAUCAAGGACGGCAUGCAAAUGUGUGAAUUAUAUCCAUCUGAU
This is a small nuclear RNA of Mandrillus leucophaeus (drill), 102 nucleotides long. NCBI's taxonomy places the organism in Eukaryota, Metazoa, Chordata, Mammalia, Primates, Cercopithecidae. The record is from Ensembl.